This 525-nucleotide ribosomal RNA is filed under the name uncultured bacterium. RNAcentral's name for it is "bacterial SSU rRNA". It matches the Rfam family "Bacterial small subunit ribosomal RNA", at positions 984 to 1509 of the family's 1533-position model. The record is from RNAcentral.
ACAUCCAGAGAAUUUAGCAGAGAUGCUUUAGUGCCUUCGGGAACUCUGAGACAGGUGCUGCAUGGCUGUCGUCAGCUCGUGUUGUGAAAUGUUGGGUUAAGUCCCGNAACGAGCGCAACCCCUAUCCUUUGUUGCCAGCGAUUCGGUCGGGAACUCAAAGGAGACUGCCGGUGAUAAACCGGAGGAAGGUGGGGAUGACGUCAAGUCAUCAUGGCCCUUACGAGUAGGGCUACACACGUGCUACAAUGGCGCAUACAAAGAGAAGCGACCUCGCGAGAGCAAGCGGACCUCAUAAAGUGCGUCGUAGUCCGGAUUGGAGUCUGCAACUCGACUCCAUGAAGUCGGAAUCGCUAGUAAUCGUAGAUCAGAAUGCUACGGUGAAUACGUUCCCGGGCCUUGUACACACCGCCCGUCACACCAUGGGAGUGGGUUGCAAAAGAAGUAGAUAGCUUAACCUUCGGGAGGGCGUUUACCACUUUGUGAUUCGUGACUGGGGUGAAGUCGUAACAAGGUAAGCGUAGCGAG